Molecule: ribosomal RNA, 575 nt
Filed under: uncultured bacterium
Lineage: Bacteria
Description: partial 16S ribosomal RNA
Rfam family: Bacterial small subunit ribosomal RNA
Source: RNAcentral
UGGGGAAUUUUGGACAAUGGGCGCAAGCCUGAUCCAGCAAUGCCGCGUGCAGGAUGAAGGCCUUCGGGUUGUAAACUGCUUUUGUACGGAACGAAAAGCCUCUCUCUAAUACAGGGGGGUGAUGACGGUACCGUAAGAAUAAGCACCGGCUAACUACGUGCCAGCAGCCGCGGUAAUACGUAGGGUGCAAGCGUUAAUCGGAAUUACUGGGCGUAAAGCGUGCGCAGGCGGUUUUGUAAGACAGUGGUGAAAUCCCCGGGCUCAACCUGGGAACUGCCAUUGUGACUGCAAGGCUGGAGUGCGGCAGAGGGGGAUGGAAUUCCGCGUGUAGCAGUGAAAUGCGUAGAUAUGCGGAGGAACACCGAUGGCGAAGGCAAUCCCCUGGGCCUGCACUGACGCUCAUGCACGAAAGCGUGGGGAGCAAACAGGAUUAGAUACCCUGGUAGUCCACGCCCUAAAACGAUGUCAACUGGUUGUUGGGGAUUUAUUUCUUCAGUAACGAAGCUAACGCGUGAAGUUGACCGCCUGGGGGAGUACGGCCGCAAGGUUAAAAACUUAAAGGAAUUGACGGGGUC